GAGUUUGAUCCUGGCUCAGGACGAACGCUGGCGGCGCGCCUAACACAUGCAAGUCGAACGAGCGAGAGAGAGCUUGCUUUCUCGGGCGAGUGGCGAACGGGUGAGUAACGCGUGAGGAACCUGCCUCAAAGAGGGGGACAACAGUUGGAAACGACUGCUAAUACCGCAUAAGCCCACAGGUCGGCAUCGACCAGAGGGAAAAGGAGCAAUCCGCUUUGAGAUGGCCUCGCGUCCGAUUAGCUAGUUGGUGAGGUAACGGCCCACCAAGGCGACGAUCGGUAGCCGGACUGAGAGGUUGAACGGCCACAUUGGGACUGAGACACGGCCCAGACUCCUACGGGAGGCAGCAGUGGGGAAUAUUGCACAAUGGGGGAAACCCUGAUGCAGCGACGCCGCGUGGAGGAAGAAGGUCUUCGGAUUGUAAACCUCUGUCCUUGGUGACGAAGGAAGUGACGGUAGCCAAGGAGGAAGCCCCGGCUAACUACGUGCCAGCCGCCGCGGUAAUUC
This 507-nucleotide ribosomal RNA is filed under the name uncultured bacterium. RNAcentral's name for it is "bacterial SSU rRNA". It matches the Rfam family "Bacterial small subunit ribosomal RNA", at positions 9 to 526 of the family's 1533-position model. The record is from RNAcentral.